UCCUACGGGAGGCAGCAGUGAGGAAUAUUGGUCAAUGGACGAGAGUCUGAACCAGCCAAGUAGCGUGCAGGAUGACGGCCCUAUGGGUUGUAAACUGCAUUUUAUAAGGGAAUAAAAGUGAGUCUCGUGAGACUUUUUGCAUGUACCUUAUGAAUAAGGACCGGCUAAUUCCGUGC
Molecule: ribosomal RNA, 176 nt
Filed under: uncultured bacterium
Lineage: Bacteria
Description: partial 16S ribosomal RNA
Rfam family: Bacterial small subunit ribosomal RNA
Source: RNAcentral